GAUCUAUGGAAUUGUUUUGAUGAAUGGAGUGCAUAUGGAGCUGGAGUUCCUAUUGUCUUGAACAAUGAUGAAACAUUGGUCCAGUACUAUGUGCCUUAUCUCUCUGAAUUUUCACAAGCAAUUCCUCUGUUAACGGUUUCAGGGAAGAGAUCGAGUCAGGUGAUGGUGAGACGAGGGAUACAUUUAGCGAUUCAUGUAGCGAUGAGAGUGAGAG
RNAcentral lists this unclassified non-coding RNA (214 nucleotides) under Hevea brasiliensis (rubber tree). Lineage: Eukaryota; Viridiplantae; Streptophyta; Magnoliopsida; Malpighiales; Euphorbiaceae. The record is from RNAcentral.